RNAcentral lists this ribosomal RNA (466 nucleotides) under uncultured bacterium. RNAcentral's name for it is "partial 16S ribosomal RNA". It matches the Rfam family "Bacterial small subunit ribosomal RNA", at positions 28 to 505 of the family's 1533-position model. The record is from RNAcentral.
GACGAACGCUGGCGGCGUGCUUAACACAUGCAAGUCGAACGGAAAGGCCCUGCUUUUGUGGGGUGCUCGAGUGGCGAACGGGUGAGUAACACGUGAGUAACCUGCCCUUGACUUUGGGAUAACUUCAGGAAACUGGGGCUAAUACCGGAUAGGAGCUCCUGCUGCAUGGUGGGGGUUGGAAAGUUUCGGCGGUUGGGGAUGGACUCGCGGCUUAUCAGCUUGUUGGUGGGGUAGUGGCUUACCAAGGCUUUGACGGGUAGCCGGCCUGAGAGGGUGACCGGACACAUUGGGACUGAGAUACGGCAGAGACUCCUACGGGAGGCAGCAGUGGGGAAUAUUGCACAAUGGGCGGAAGCCUGAUGCAGCAACGCCGCGUGCGGGAUGACGGCCUUCGGGUUGUAAACCGCUUUCGCCUGUGACGAAGCGUGAGUGACGGUAAUGGGUAAAGAAGCACCGGAUAACUACG